This is a long non-coding RNA of Corvus hawaiiensis (hawaiian crow), 339 nucleotides long. RefSeq lists it as uncharacterized. NCBI's taxonomy places the organism in Eukaryota, Metazoa, Chordata, Aves, Passeriformes, Corvidae. The transcript is spliced from 2 exons. The record is from RefSeq and is a predicted model, not a curated record.
GCCCGGGCGCAGCGCGCGCAUGCUCGGCGCGGCCGCGUGAAGCUGCAGAUACAGCAUGGAGCCGCAGCUGCCCCGAUCGCCAUCGAUAGCCACUGAUCACCUUCCGGAGCAGGAGCACGUCUGCUAUGAAGUGCUACUAAUUUAAGCUGCAGACCAUACAAUAUAUACUGUAAUCUACCUGGAUGUUCUUAACAGACAUCCAAAUUAGAUUUCCUUGAACAUCAAAUUCCAGGGCCAGCCACUUGAAAAUUACGGAAUGGCACACUAGCUUCAGCUGUCAACUGAGUUUAAAAAAAAAGUUUAAAAAUCCUGUAAUAAUAAAAACUCAGUUCUUACUUA